AUGCAGGCAGGCAAAUCUGGUGUUCUUCGUCAAUUUUGUUGGGUGAAGACACCGAAUUUGAGGCCCAAGGUGCACGGGGUUGAACCCCGGCCGACGCUCCACAUCGAUAUGUGCUCUGCCGUUUGCGGCGGUGCUUUCUUCGGCUCACAAAGCAGUGAUGCGAUGGUGCUCCGACGGCUGUUCAGCGUGCGGUGUUUGUCUCCUACUCCGGCGACGGUGUUGCUUGUGGACGGUGGCAGGCAAAGAUUUGGCUGUGCAAUCAACCCCCUCAAGGAUAUUUUUGUAAAUUUCUUUUAUGUGGGGUGUUUUUUGCUUCUGUGUCAUGACAGUUGUACUCUCUGGAAUUGUCUAGUGUGGACUAGGUGUGUUGUAUCUUCUAACAUUAUAUAA
Molecule: ribosomal RNA, 390 nt
Filed under: Triticum aestivum (bread wheat)
Lineage: Eukaryota; Viridiplantae; Streptophyta; Magnoliopsida; Poales; Poaceae
Description: partial small subunit ribosomal RNA
Source: RNAcentral